CAGCAGCCGCGGGAAUACGAAGGGGGCUAGCGUUGCUCGGAAUUACUGGGCGUAAAGGGAGCGUAGGCGGAUCGUUUAGUCGGGGGUGAAAUCCCGGGGCUCAACCUCGGAACUGCCUUCGAUACUGGCGAUCUUGAGUAUGGGAGAGGUGUGUGGAACUCCGAGUGUAGAGGUGAAAUUCGUAGAUAUUCGGAAGAACACCAGUGGCGAAGGCGACACACUGGCCCAUCACUGACGCUGAGGCUCGAAAGCGUGGGGAGCAAACAGGAUUAGAUACCCCUGUAGUCCCUGUCUCUUAUAC
RNAcentral lists this ribosomal RNA (301 nucleotides) under uncultured bacterium. RNAcentral's name for it is "partial 16S ribosomal RNA". It matches the Rfam family "Bacterial small subunit ribosomal RNA", at positions 509 to 807 of the family's 1533-position model. The record is from RNAcentral.